This 1086-nucleotide ribosomal RNA is filed under the name Clostridioides sp. ES-S-0171-01. Its description in RNAcentral is "partial 23S ribosomal RNA". It matches the Rfam family "Bacterial large subunit ribosomal RNA", at positions 1791 to 2878 of the family's 2925-position model. Lineage: Bacteria; Bacillati; Bacillota; Clostridia; Peptostreptococcales; Peptostreptococcaceae. The record is from RNAcentral.
CCCAAGCGACUGUUUACCAAAAACAUAGGUUUCUGCUAAGUCGCAAGACGAUGUAUAGGAGCUGACGCCUGCCCGGUGCUGGAAGGUUAAGGGGAUCUGUUAGAGCAAUCGAAGCAGUGAACUUAAGCCCCAGUAAACGGCGGCCGUAACUAUAACGGUCCUAAGGUAGCGAAAUUCCUUGUCGGGUAAGUUCCGACCCGCACGAAAGGCGUAACGAUUUGGGCACUGUCUCAACAACAGACUCGGUGAAAUUGUAAUUCCGGUGAAGAUGCCGGAUACCUGCGACAGGACGGAAAGACCCCAUGGAGCUUUACUGUAGCUUGACAUUGGGUCUUGGUACUACAUGUACAGGAUAGGUGGGAGGCUUUGAAACCAGGACGCCAGUUUUGGCGGAGCCAUCCUUGGGAUACCACCCUUGUAGUACUGGGACUCUAACCAUAGGCCAUGAAUCUGGUCUUGGGACACUGUCAGGUGGGCAGUUUGACUGGGGCGGUCGCCUCCCAAAAGGUAACGGAGGCGCUCAAAGGUUCUCUCAGUACGGUCGGAAAUCGUACGUAGAGUGUAAAGGCAAAAGAGAGCUUGAUUGCAAGACAUACAGGUCGAGCAAGGAUGAAAAUCGGACUUAGUGAUCCGGUGGUUCUGCGUGGAAGGGCCAUCGCUCAACGGAUAAAAGCUACCCUGGGGAUAACAGGCUUAUCUCCCCCAAGAGUCCACAUCGACGGGGAGGUUUGGCACCUCGAUGUCGGCUCAUCACAUCCUGGGGCUGUAGUAGGUCCCAAGGGUUGGGCUGUUCGCCCAUUAAAGUGGUACGCGAGCUGGGUUCAGAACGUCGUGAGACAGUUCGGUCCCUAUCCGUCGCAGGCGUAGGAAAUUUGAGAAGACCUGUCCUUAGUACGAGAGGACCGGGAUGGACGUACCUCUGGUGUACCAGUUGUCCUGCCAAGGGCAUGGCUGGGUAGCUAUGUACGGAAUGGAUAAGCGCUGAAAGCAUCUAAGCGCGAAGCCAACUUCAAGAUAAGAUUUCCCACCGCAAGGGUAAGACCCCAGAAAGACUAUCUGGUUGAUAGGUCGAAGGUGUAAGUGCAG